AUUGAACGCUGGCGGCAGGCCUAACACAUGCAAGUCGAGCGAGCGGCGGACGGGUGAGUAAUGUAUGGGGACUGCCCGAUAGAGGGGGAUAACUCCUGGAAAAGGUAGCUAAUACCGCAUACUAUCGGAUAAUCCAUAUGGGAUUAGCUAGUAGGUGAGGUAAUGGCUCACCUAGGCGCCGAUCCCUAGCUGGUCUGAGAGGAGGAGCCGCCACACUGGGACGGAGACACGGCCCAGACUCCUACGGAGGCAGCAGGGGGGAAUAUUGCACAAUGGGCGCAAGCCUGAUGCAGCCAUGCCGCGUGUAUGAAGAAGGCCCUAGGGUUGUAAAGUACUUUCAGUCGGGAGGCGUUACCGACAGAAGAAGCACCGGCUAACUCCGUGCCAGCAGCCGCGGUAAUUC
Molecule: ribosomal RNA, 403 nt
Filed under: uncultured bacterium
Lineage: Bacteria
Description: partial 16S ribosomal RNA
Rfam family: Bacterial small subunit ribosomal RNA
Source: RNAcentral